GAUGAACGCUGGCGGCGUGCCUAAUACAUGCAAGUCGAGCGAACAGACGAGGAGCUUGCUCCUCUGACGUUAGCGGCGGACGGGUGAGUAACACGUGGAUAACCUACCUAUAAGACUGGGAUAACUUCGGGAAACCGGUGCUAAUACCGGAUAAUAUAUUGAACCGCAUGGUUCAAUAGUGAAAGACGGUUUUGCUGUCACUUAUAGAUGGAUCCGCGCCGCAUUAGCUAGUUGGUAAGGUAACGGCUUACCAAGGCAACGAUGCGUAGCCGACCUGGGAGGGUGAUCGGCCACACUGUAACUGAGACACGGUCCAGACUCCUACGGGAGGCAGCAGUAGGGAAUCUUCCGCAAUGGGCGAAAGCCUGACGGAGCAACGCCGCGUGAGUGAUGAAGGUCUUCGGAUCGUAAAACUCUGUUAUUAGGGAAGAACAAAUGUGUAAGUAACUAUGCACGUCUUGACGGUACCUAAUCAGAAAGCCACGGCUAACUACGUG
This 497-nucleotide ribosomal RNA is filed under the name uncultured bacterium. RNAcentral describes it as "partial 16S ribosomal RNA". It matches the Rfam family "Bacterial small subunit ribosomal RNA", at positions 28 to 507 of the family's 1533-position model. The record is from RNAcentral.